Molecule: long non-coding RNA, 393 nt
Filed under: Meleagris gallopavo (turkey)
Lineage: Eukaryota; Metazoa; Chordata; Aves; Galliformes; Phasianidae
Description: lncRNA (ENSMGAG00000022958.1)
Source: RNAcentral
AUGAUCAUAAACCUUGCAGUAUCCAGGUAUCAGAGCAGCAUGUUGAUGAAUGAGGCUUACUGCUCAGCUCUGCCUUUCUCAGAGAUUGAAAAGAAAAAUGAUGGAGGAGAAUGUCCUGAAUCUGUUGAAGAGGAUCCUUGGAGGGUGUAGCAUCGCCCUCACUUUGUUGUCAUUCAAAAUCAUGUAACUACCUCUGACUAUUGGGGCCCUUUUGGAGAGAAAAUGAGACAGCUGACAUUGACAUGAGAAGAAGCUUUAGGAAAAGCUCUAUCCUCUACGGAACAAGGACAGUGGAGGCAUUGCUCCUCUCCUUGGUGAAAAGGGAUUUUCCAGAGUUAAAAGAUCAGGAUGUGUCUUCCAGUUGCUGUAGAGUAUUUUGAUGAAUGUUGAUCC